UACGGAGGGUGCGAGCGUUAUCCGGAAUCACUGGGUUUAAAGGGUACGUAGGCGGCCCGUUAAGUCAGGGGUGAAAGCCCGCCGCUCAACGGCGGAACUGCCCUUGAUACUGGGGGGCUCGAAUUGGGUAGAGGCAGGCGGAAUGUGGCAUGUAGCGGUGAAAUGCUUAGAUAUGCCAUAGAACACCGAUUGCGAAGGCAGCCUGCCAGGCCCCGAUUGACGCUGAGGCACGAAAGCGUGGGGAGCGAACAGG
Molecule: ribosomal RNA, 253 nt
Filed under: uncultured bacterium
Lineage: Bacteria
Description: partial 16S ribosomal RNA
Rfam family: Bacterial small subunit ribosomal RNA
Source: RNAcentral